RNAcentral lists this ribosomal RNA (481 nucleotides) under uncultured bacterium. RNAcentral's name for it is "partial 16S ribosomal RNA". It matches the Rfam family "Bacterial small subunit ribosomal RNA", at positions 28 to 507 of the family's 1533-position model. The record is from RNAcentral.
GACGAACGUUGGCGGCGUGCUUAAUACAUGCAAGUCCACUGAAGCAGUGGUAGCAAUAUCGCUGUGGAGGUGGCGCACGGGUGAGUAACACGUAGGUAAUCUGCCUUCAGGUCUGGCAUAAUUCCGGGAAACCGGGGCUAAUAGCAGAUGAUGCAGCGGCUCGACAUCGAGACAGCUGUUAAAGCUAUGGUUCCUGAAGAUGAGCCUGCGUCUGAUUAGCUAGUUGGCGGGGUAACGGCCCACCAAGGCAACGAUCAGUAGCUGGUCUGAGAGGAUGAUCAGCCACACUGGAACUGAGACACGGCCCAGACUCCUACGGGAGGGAGCAGUAAGGAAUAUUGCUCAAUGGGAGAAAUCCUGAAGCAGCAACGCCGCGUAAGGGACGAAGGGCUUUUGCUUGUAAACCUCUGUAGUGAGAGAAAAAAAUCACAAUCUUUGGGACAUGAUGGUAUCUCAAAAGUAAGCCCCGGCUAACUACGUG